This 254-nucleotide ribosomal RNA is filed under the name uncultured bacterium. RNAcentral's name for it is "partial 16S ribosomal RNA". It matches the Rfam family "Bacterial small subunit ribosomal RNA", at positions 524 to 776 of the family's 1533-position model. The record is from RNAcentral.
UACGUAGGGUGCGAGCGUUAAUCGGAAUUACUGGGCGUAAAGGGUGCGCAGGCGGUCUCGUAAGCUGGGUGUGAAAGCCCCGGGCUUAACCUGGGAAUGGCAUUCAGGACUGCGAGGCUUUGAGUGUGGCAGAGGGAGGUGGAAUUCCACGUGUAGCAGUGAAAUGCGUAGAGAUGUGGAGGAACACCGAUGGCGAAGGCAGCCUCCUGGGCCAACACUGACGCUCAUGCACGAAAGCGUGGGGAGCAAACAGG